CUGUGGUGCACAGAAGUGGGAUGGAAACAAAAUACAGAGGCAAUGCCCACCAAAUCUUGGUGGUUGAGGAACUGCUGAACACCUUGAUGGACAGGACUGGGAUACAGAAGAGCUUCUUCAACAGGAUGUGACUGGUUUGACUGAAUAUGAGAGAGGAGUUUUCCCCAGGAUCUUCAGAUGUGACCCUCAAGGACAGUGGUGGCAUCAAAGGGCACUUGACAUUUUCUGGGACUUGGAUAUCCAUGGCUUAUUAUGAGGAACAGAAUACAGAGUUGAAGGUCCUGUACUGAGAAAUCCCUGGCUCUGGACCCAUAAAUAAAUCACCCUUUAUGAAACUUGCUCACAUCUGUGCUGUCUCAAGCACGGGCAGAGGGAAGCUGUCAGCCUGGGCACAGAUCUUCACUGGCACAGAAGGAAUAGUCUGGAAGGAAGAGAAUGACACAUAUCAUGCCUUUACUUUGUACAGCAAUCUCGAUAUUUUGUAUGUACUUAUUGCUCUGAGUUUGUCUCCCUUUCCCACCUGUACUUACACUGUCUUUUUUCUGAGGCUUGUUAUUAUUUCUAUUGAGCAAUCUUCAGCCGAACUGGGAGAGCUCGCAGUGACUCACUUACUUGAACAUUAUUGCCUAGUUCUUUACACAAGACAGAUUGGAUAUGAAUGAGAUCUCUUGUCCUCAUGAGCAUUAUAUUUAUUUCACAAGACAUUUUCUUCAGAACUCUCCCUGCAAUAAAUUAUGUGGUAUAUUUAUUUUUUUCUUCUACCGUGCUAUAGCUCUGUCCCUUUUUUUGUUGUUUCUCAUUUUUAGACACUUCUUCUUCUAUGAUCUGCUGUUGUUGUUUUCUGGUUUUUUUUCUUCUCACAAUCUCUUAGCUGUAUCUUUGGAAUUUUUUCCCUUGUGCAUUUUUUAGCACAGUGCAUGCAUUCAAUGUACUCAAAAUGAGAGCUUGAGAUAAGUAUUUAAAGUAACAAAAUGAUUUCCCUCUCUUAUCUUUCAGA
Haemorhous mexicanus (house finch) is the source of this 997-nucleotide long non-coding RNA. RefSeq lists it as uncharacterized. The transcript is spliced from 3 exons. NCBI's taxonomy places the organism in Eukaryota, Metazoa, Chordata, Aves, Passeriformes, Fringillidae. The record is from RefSeq and is a predicted model, not a curated record.